UUCACAUUAAGCAUCACUAAAAAAGUGUGUGCUUUUGCUUCUGCGCAUUAGGGCAGCUUAAUGCGCAUUUAUUCCUACCUCACAUCAGAGGUACUAAAUUUAAU
This is a long non-coding RNA of Gavialis gangeticus (Gharial), 104 nucleotides long. RefSeq lists it as uncharacterized. The transcript has 3 exons. The record is from RefSeq and is a predicted model, not a curated record. Lineage: Eukaryota; Metazoa; Chordata; Crocodylia; Gavialidae.